This 443-nucleotide ribosomal RNA is filed under the name uncultured bacterium. RNAcentral's name for it is "partial 16S ribosomal RNA". It matches the Rfam family "Bacterial small subunit ribosomal RNA", at positions 338 to 795 of the family's 1533-position model. The record is from RNAcentral.
CCUACGGGAGGCAGCAGUGGGGAAUAUUGGGCAAUGGGCGCAAGCCUGACCCAGCAACGCCGCGUGAAGGAAGAAGGCUUUCGGGUUGUAAACUUCUUUUGUCAGGGACGAAGCAAGUGACGGUACCUGACGAAUAAGCCACGGCUAACUACGUGCCAGCAGCCGCGGUAAUACGUAGGUGGCAAGCGUUAUCCGGAUUUACUGGGUGUAAAGGGCGUGUAGGCGGGACUGCAAGUCAGAUGUGAAAACCACGGGCGCAACCUGUGGCCUGCACUUGAAACUGUAGUUCUUGAGUACUGGAGAGGCAGACGGAAUUCCGAGUGUAGCAGUGAAAUGCGUAGAUAUUAGGAGGAAAACCAGUGGCGAAGGCGGUCUGAUGGACAGCAACUGACGCUGAGGCGCGAAAGCGUGGGGAGCAAACAGGAUUAGAUACCCCAGUAGUC